UACGUAGGUCCCGAGCGUUAUCCGGAUUUAUUGGGCGUAAAGCGAGCGCAGGCGGUUAGAUAAGUCUGACGUGAAGGGCUGUGGCUUAACCAUAGUAUGCUUUGGAAACAGUUUAACUUGAGUGCAGAAGGGGAGAGUGGAAUUCCAUGUGUAGCGGUGAAAUGCGUAGAUAUAUGGAGGAACACCGGUGGCGAAAGCGGCUCUCUGGUCUGUGACUGACGCUGAGGCUCGAAAGCGUGGGGAGCAAACAGG
This 252-nucleotide ribosomal RNA is filed under the name uncultured bacterium. RNAcentral's name for it is "partial 16S ribosomal RNA". It matches the Rfam family "Bacterial small subunit ribosomal RNA", at positions 524 to 776 of the family's 1533-position model. The record is from RNAcentral.